Molecule: long non-coding RNA, 1370 nt
Organism: Physcomitrium patens
Lineage: Eukaryota; Viridiplantae; Streptophyta; Bryopsida; Funariales; Funariaceae
Source: RefSeq, a predicted model, not a curated record
UAUAGGUACUAGAAACCGAAGCUUUGAUGCGAAUUUUCCACUUAAAAGCCAAAUUAGGGUCUUGUGUGGACGAUCACAGCCUGUCAUUGACUGUGCUCUGGUUCUGUCACAUUGUUGGCGCUGUUUAUCAGCGAUGGUCGUGCAGGUGUACGUUGUCUUGGAUUCCUGCUCCUUUCCUCCUUUCUUUGCUUUAUGUUCUCACCGAAACAAUGCCCCCGAAAACCAGAAGUUCUGGUCAAGUUUGCAGAGUUCAGUUAGGGGUUUGUGAGAAUCUGAAGUGUCGUGGGAUUGUAUUGUUGCGAAGCAGUGACCGAUUCUUGAUUUUGUCAUUUUUGGGAUACCUACAUUACCAGGGCUAGUGGAGCUCGACUGGGUCGCGCAGUAGAGGGCAGUGGGAGUGGUCAUUAUGGAUAGAGGAGUGCAGGAGUUCUACUCAACCGGUACGGCCCAGGGGAGGCAGGCAGAAGCGCAUUACAAAUCCUACGCGGAUGGCGUUGGUGGGAAGCAGUUCUUCCAAUGCCUCCUCUGCCUGUGCAUCAUCUACUUCGUUGCCCGAUUGUUGUUCGAUGGCAUCGUUGUAUUCCUGAUUGUAGGCCUCACUGUAGCUCUCAUCAUGCAUCUCCUUGACGGCUGGAACGCCAGCAUCAGACCUCCGAAGUAUGCCAAAACCCAUGUAAUUUAGAAGGCCUUGAGACGUUCUAUUUGUUUGUCUGAAGUAAAAGAAACACAUGAAGCAUGGACAGUGACGAGGGGAAUUCGAGGAUUAGAACUUCAGGUUUUGACCUUCGAUAAGUCGCAUGGGCAGGGCGGGUGAUGAAGUUUGUCAGCAUGAACAGAAUUUCCCCCAUGUUUAUUGAAUGCCACGAAAUUCGUGUCGUUACAGCUCGUCUUUACACCCACGACUCACGGUACCAGCGUUGUCACCAAUUCCCCUUAUGUGCCAUCGCCACCUCAUAGCCGUUGCCGUUUUCCUGUUCAUCAGAAAAAAAUGGCAUCGAUUACUUUUUCCGGCAUGUGACCGCAUCCUCUGAUUCGAACUUUCACGUUAGUCAGCUGAACCUGUAGCAAGGCUGCAACGUCCUCAGUUCAGUCGACCGAUUCUUCCGACUUCCCGCGAAAAUGCUAGACCCUGCAGCUCUUCCUCCAGCGAGUAGAGCCGAAUGAGCAACAGUCGAAGAGGGACAAUUCUCCUAAUGAGCCUCACAGUUAUCUGGAUGUCCUUGCAUUUAACACAAACUAGGUUUUUUUCAAGUGCAAUUCGCAUAGAUACCUCUCCUAUCACUUCCUAUGCGCCAACAUCACUUCAUCAAGCAUCAAACCUGUCAUUUUCUGAAGCAGUUCCAGAAACCAGUGAGCAGCAUGUCAAUCCA